Oncorhynchus tshawytscha (Chinook salmon) is the source of this 3948-nucleotide long non-coding RNA. The record is from Ensembl. NCBI's taxonomy places the organism in Eukaryota, Metazoa, Chordata, Actinopteri, Salmoniformes, Salmonidae.
GAAGAAGAAGAUUGUUUAUUUUUUUUGCAUGAGGAAGUCGAGAAGGAAAUGGUGACUGUGCUUGAAUCUGAAAAUGCCGCAAGUGACGUGUGAUAAUGAGUGGAAAAUAGUGUAAUCAAAGAAUGGAACAAAACGAGCAAAGAUUGUAGUGGAAGACAAGGACUGGACCAAUAAUGUAUUUCUUAUUGGACAAGGAGAUUCAAUUGGGAAAUCCAUUUGUAAUAUCGAGGACUGUGAAGGAACUAGUGGGAAAAGUGGAUUCAAUCAAGGUGACUAGAAGCGGCCUUCUUUUAGUUAAUUCUGUUGAUGAAGAACAGAAGAUGUGUGCACUGGAUCUGGCAAAAUUGUCCAUGCCAGAGGUAACAUGUUUUGAUCUUCAGAGCAGGGCGCCUACCAAAGGAGUUAUAGCUGGAGUCUCGUUGGAUACAGAUGAUGAGUACCUUAGUCAGAAAAUCUCAGGAGUGGUCAGUGCACUUCGCUUGACCCGUAUAUGGUGAAUGGAAGGAAGGAGAAAAGCCUGUUGAUAUUAUUGUUCUUUGAGGAGACUGGAUAUGUGAGGUAUGCGGUCAGAGCAUUUGUGUCCAAACCAUUACAAUGUGGAAAUUGUAAAGGAUAUGGUCACGUAUCAAAUGUUUGCAGACAGAAGUAUGAUAUUGAAGAAUCUGUGAAUGGAAAAUGUUGCAUUUGUGGUGGGGAUCAUACUCCGGACUUCCUUGAGUGCCCUAUUAGGGCGAAGGAGGUUGAGGUGUCAAGGGUCAGGGUUGCACAGCGGAUCUCCUAUGUGGAGACCGGUGAAGUCAAAGGGGCAAGAGUCAACAUUGUUGAAGAUAUGGCGGUGGAUGCAUUGCAACCAGUUGCUAGUGUUUCAAGUCAAUCGGGUGACCUGGAUACACUUAUUGUGAAGAAGGUGGAUUUUGUGGCAUUUAUAGCCACAGUGACUAAUUGCACAGCACAAGUGUCUAAUAAGUCCAAGAAGCUGGAUAUCAUUAUAUCUGCAACCGACGGAAGCACUACAAGGACUGUUGUUGCUAGGAAAUGUCCCGUCCUCACAGGAGGUUUCUGAGCCUGUGUUGAGACCUGAUUCGAAUUAGGUUUUUACAGAAAAGCAGGUUGAUUUUGUUUAUUUAAUAUUUAUUUAUUUUUACCAAAAUAUUUUCCUUUUUGGGAUCCUUGUUAUCCUCCCGCAAAGUAGGUGGCAGAAUGCACAUCUAACUCCCACAAGACGGUCAUAUCUUCUUCCUUCCCAUCCUGACUGGGAUUUACAGUGCCCUGGAGACACAGCCCGUGAUAAGAACAUCCAUGACUCUGUCAGUGCCCAGAUCAAGAAGAACUUUACCAAGAGCUAAUGGAAGGUGGGUUACUCUUCCUUAGUGGCGUGUAUUCAUGGAUGCCAAGGGAAGCCAGACUUCUGUCUCAGUAUGUGUAGGCCAUCUAUCUGAUACUGUAUGGUAAAAAAGAGUAUGACGUUGUUGCUGCCAGUAGCAUUGAAUGCAAGGGAAGCCAGCGGGCAUUUGGCCUCCCUUGAUUAAAAAAAAGUAUGCCAAUCAGCGUUGCGCUAAACUAAGUGAGCUAAACUGUGAAUGGUCCUGGCUGAACAACAAAAAAGUGUCAAGGGAAGACAUUUUUGGAUAUGGCUUCACUCCAAUCAAAUCAAGAGCAAUACGUCACUGAGACUGACUACUUGAAUUCUUGCAUCUCCUUGUUUUGUUGUCCACCAGUGGCUAGCUAGCUAAAACUGGCCCUUUCCUAAAUUAGCCAUGGAUGGAGACAGGGAUUUGACGUGGUUUUACUUAAUUCUCCGUACUGGCCAAUGAUUAUGACGACGAUUCUGAUCCAACCAUAAAUUCAUACAUUGUGCCCCUGGCCUGAGAGGAUGGAAGUUCAAUAUGUAGCUAGAUGUAGAAGGCUGUUAACUAGCUAACGUUGCCCAUGAAAGGAAGUUAGGCAAGCGGGCAAGCAUUUUUGCCAGGUAGCCUAGGACAACAAAGAAUGUGUGUACUGUAUGAUAGUCAUAGACCGUUUCAUCAACAUGAAAUAGAGGAAGAUGGCAAGUAAGCUGAGGGGGGCUGCUCCCAGAGUGCGGAUCAGAUCAAGACUCCCUGACCAACUGUACCCACCGCUAACCUGCAACAAGCUGCAUCUGUUCCCCCGGACACAAAGGGUGUUGCCAACCAAUGACUUUCGCACGAUAUACCUGUGGAGUCCAGAGAAACUCCCCAGUCUGGCCCAGAACACAGAGCUGUUGUUCCAAAGAAAAGGAGAGCUAUUGUAUGUACCCACUGCAUUCCUGGGUGAUAUUAUUUUGAGAGUGGGACAGAGCUUGUAAAGUGUUUUUACUCAUGCUUUUAAAAAUGUACCUCUGCUUUUUCCCCCCCAUCUCUGUGUUUCUGUACAUGAUUUUUAUAAUCGUUAUUAUCCUUCCCUGUUCACAACAUAGGACUGAGCCACUGAUGUUACCUGCAUGAUCAGAUGACAGGCAGACAGGUUCUCAUGCAUGUUGACUGGCAACAGGUGUUUUUAUAGCAUGACAAGUCUACUGCAGAACUAUACUGAACAAAAAUAUAAACGCAACCAUUUCAAAGAUUUUACUGAGUUACAGUUCAUGUGAGGAAAUCAGUCAGAUAAUCUUGGCAAAGGAGAAAUGCUCACUAACAGGGAUGUAAACAAAUCUGUGCACAACAUUUGAGAGAAAUAAGCUUUCUGCGCAUGGACAAUUUCUGGGAUCUUUUAUUUCAGCUCAUGAAACAUGGGACCAACACAUGUUGUGUUUAUAUUUUUGUUCAGUGUAUGUGGUACCACCCAUUGUGGAAUAGUUUCCAUACAGCAGAUAAUGCAGCUAAUACUUCACGAGAGAUGGACUUACAUGAAGUGCUGUUCCUCAAACUAAGAAUAGGUCUCAUUUAACCCAGUUUUACUCUUGUUUAAACAACAUUCUAACCUGAUAGGGCAAUAUGAUCCUGUUGAUAAAGACUCUUUUAUGGGGAGUUUCAGCCUGGAUUUGAACUGGUCAAAACUUUAUCUAUUUAAGUUAAGACCAUGGGAGAUAUGAGCUCAGUUUAAGAGCACGGAAUAGAUAUGCACGAAUAGAAAGCCAAAUAUAUGUUUUUUACUGUGUAGAUACAACCAACCCCCUUUGGAUCACCCUUCCAUGGAUCUUUUCUUCAUUCAUAUUGCGGUUGAUUUUUCAAGCAAUUGUAUUGUGUACAGAGAGAACUUGAAUGUAAAUAUUAAUCCAGUCAUCUCACUUCAUUAAAUGUCACUCACCAUAAGGUCAUGUUAAAUUUUCAUAACCUAUUGGACAUACAAAAGUGGGAUUUUGUUAUUCACUCAAGAAUACUCAUUUUACUAAAAUGUUUGUGCAUUUUACAAUUGAAUGUAUGUACAAGAAACAGCUUGCCCUGGCAACCUUCAGGGUGGCAUUGAAAAGUCUGACAUGGAAUAUAUACCCUAAUCUGUGAUCUGUGUAAGACGCAAUAUCUAAUGAGAAAUUGUCAGUUGUAACCCAUUAGGUUGAGGCUUUCAGCCCGAGAUGGUUGGCCAUGGAAUAAAAAAUAAGUUGGUGUGCUUUUGCACCCCUUUUAGGUCUUCAUAAAUAUCCAUCCCAUGUCCAGUCAUACUCGUGGUCUCAGCGUGUGUCCGUCAACGUCAGUCCAUCUCAGUUGCGGUGUUCAAAUCGAGGUCCUCACGUGUCUGUGAAUCACAACAUUAAAGACGAUGAGUUAUGACAGCAUUUCCACAAAUUGAGCCAUAGACAAUACAACUUAAGCAUUGUUUUACACUGUCUACAGUGUGUGAAUGACAGAAGAAUCUUAUCACAGCAGUAGAUCCGUUUGUGUGUGGUCACCUAGGCCUUCACAUCAACCGUACUGGGACCAUUGGAGACUUGAGUGUGUAUAUAUACUGGGACCCUUGGGAUGAGUGUGUAUAAGCUUGUCCUUAAUAAAAAUC